GGCGGAUGUAGCCAAGUGGACCAAGGCAGU
This 30-nucleotide non-coding RNA is filed under the name Mus musculus (house mouse). RNAcentral also lists the same sequence under 2 other names. The record is from RNAcentral. Lineage: Eukaryota; Metazoa; Chordata; Mammalia; Rodentia; Muridae.